CAAAGCCCCCGAUGUGGCCAGAGGUAACCCAAUAGGCUCCCCCGUUACGCCAGAUUAUCCCUGGAGAAUUCACUCUCCACCACGUGAAAGGAAGAGACGAAAAGUUUGGGGACUCGAUAUAAGUCGGGAAGCAGCAGCUGGUCAGCUCUUUGCAUGCUUUGAGUCUAAUUACACAGAGCACAAAUCCAUUGCCCAUGAAGAAAAGGAACACUAGAAUGAGCCCUCUGAAAAAACCCAGGUGGUUGCCUUGACUCCUCACCUCUGAUUUACCCGCCUUCUCUGCUUCCUAAAGCUAAACAAAGUAUCACUAUGUCCUAGAAGAUGAAGCUCGCCAGGAAGCUGAAGUAACAAGAUCAACUCCUGCACCUCCACUGGCCAGUAAGGGAAUAAAAAGAGACCACGAAGACAGAAUUAGAGACACCAGCAUAGGAGAGAUCAACCGUUUUGGAAAACAGCAAGUGGAUAGAGAAGUGACAAUUAAUGUGGCAGAACAGAGAAAGCUGAAGCCCAAGUUCUAGGGUGGGGAAAGGCAGCAGGCUGAUUCCCACUCAACUCUCAUCAGGCUGGGAAGUGAGGCACGUGACCCUCUGCACCAGGAGAGACUGAAAACACAGAACAGCUGUGAGUCCUGCAAAGGCGCAUUUGAGCCCACAGAUCUGCCUCACUCCGUGAAGCCAGGUCCCCACCCCACUGGCACCCUGAAAGAAGACCAGAGUGAAAGGUUAUUCCUGAGUUUAAACUUGACCUCAGGGACACCACAAAAACAUAAAGGCAAAGAGUAAAUUCUGUAGAACUGGAAGCAAGCUGAGGAAGUCAUCCAAAAAGAUAAACGAAAUGCCCUUGAGCAAAGCAAAUUAGAAUAUCAACGUGGAGGUUUGAUAUCCAAUUGGGUGUUUCAAGAAAAACAACGGCAGUGAAGAAGAAAUGAUCAAAUAAUUCUAGCAAACAUUCCACGCCCUGACUGUGCAUUUCCAGAUGGAAACGACCAGAAAUGCCCAGAACAAUGAAUGAAAAAAGACACAUUACCAUUACAGAAACAACAAUUUAAAAACCUUCCUAUAGAAGCACCACACCAGACAGGUUUACCGUCACGUUCUACCAAACAUUCCAGGAACAAGAAAUCCUGACCUUAAAACUAUUGCAGAGUUGGUUUCUUCUGAGGCCUCUCUCCUUAGCCUACAGACAGCUGCCUCCUCCCUGUGUCCUCACGUGGUCGUUCCUCCCCGUUCCGCCCGUGAUGUCCCUAGCUCUCUCUGCAUCCUAAUCUCCUCUCCUUAUAAGGGCUCCAGCUCCAGUCAGAUUGGCUUAGGACCUCCCCUAACGACCUCAUUUUAACUUAAUCACCUCUUUAAAGGCCCUGUCUCCAUAUACAACUACUUUCUGAAGUACUGGGAGUUAAGGCUUGAACAUACGAAUUUGGAGGUGGGAGCACUUCAGCCCAUAACAACAUUCAUAGUUGGCAAUCUAAGAAGAAAAGGGAAUUUCUUCAGAUUGAUGAAGAAUAUCUACCAAAAAA
Molecule: long non-coding RNA, 1516 nt
Filed under: Equus asinus (donkey)
Lineage: Eukaryota; Metazoa; Chordata; Mammalia; Perissodactyla; Equidae
Description: lncRNA (ENSEASG00005029483.1)
Source: RNAcentral